UGGGGAAUUUUGGACAAUGGGCGCAAGCCUGAUCCAGCAAUGCCGCGUGCAGGAUGAAGGCCUUCGGGUUGUAAACUGCUUUUGUACGGAGCGAAAAGGUCUGCCCUAAUACGGUGGGCUCAUGACGAUACCGUAAGAAUAAGCACCGGCUAACUACGUGCCAGCAGCCGCGGUAAUACGUAGGGUGCGAGCGUUAAUCGGAAUUACUGGGCGUAAAGCGUGCGCAGGCGGUUAUAUAAGACAGAUGUGAAAUCCCCGGGCUCAACCUGGGACCUGCAUUUGAGACUGGCAAGCUAGAGUACGGUAGAGGGGGAUAGAAUUCCGCGUGUAGCAGUGAAAUGCGUAGAUAUGCGGAGGAACACCGGUGGCGAAGGCAAUCCCCUGGACCUGUACUGACGCUCAUGCACGAAAGCGUGGGGAGCAAACA
This 427-nucleotide ribosomal RNA is filed under the name uncultured bacterium. RNAcentral describes it as "bacterial SSU rRNA". It matches the Rfam family "Bacterial small subunit ribosomal RNA", at positions 355 to 774 of the family's 1533-position model. The record is from RNAcentral.